CCUGAUAGGCUAGUGCAUAUCGCAUAGCACUUGCAUGGUGGAAAAUGCAAUUGAGAAUUGGUGAAACACAAGGGUUAAAGUGGUGUGUUAUCCAUCGUAAGAUUUGGAAAGUCUAUCUGGCAUGGGCCGGACAAUAAUUUUUUAAUAACUACAUUGACUAACCUGAAAUUUUUAGAGAAAUACGUGGAUGUAAAUGUAGAGGACGAAUAUUUAAUUUCAAACAAAGCCUGGAACGUGGA
RNAcentral lists this long non-coding RNA (239 nucleotides) under Elaeis guineensis (African oil palm). Its description in RNAcentral is "long non-coding RNA (EGUI_LNC000488)". The record is from RNAcentral. Lineage: Eukaryota; Viridiplantae; Streptophyta; Magnoliopsida; Arecales; Arecaceae.